CUGGCCGGACAGGUAUUUAGAAAAUGUCUUCCCCUCUUUGACCAAGUAUUGGCUGAAAGGAGUGCAGUCCAAACUGUAACCAAAGGAGGCAUUAUGCUUCCUGAAAAACAUCCAGUAAAGGCAUUGCAAGCAAUGAUAGUAACUGCUGGACUGGGCUUUAAGGAAAAGAGUGGAGAGAUUUUACCCAUUAGCAUAAGGGUUGGAAAUAAAGUUUUUCUCCCAGAAUAUGGAGGCACCAAAGUAGUUCUAAAUGAUGAGAUUAUUUCUUAUUUAGAGAUGGUGACAUACUUGGAAAGUCCGUAGACUGA
Molecule: long non-coding RNA, 308 nt
Filed under: Homo sapiens (human)
Lineage: Eukaryota; Metazoa; Chordata; Mammalia; Primates; Hominidae
Description: non-protein coding lnc-SLC2A12-11:1
Source: RNAcentral